UAGUGGUUGAGAAUCUGGCUUAAGGGUGGGAGUAUAAACACUUCCUUUCCAAUCCAGUCGAAAGGGGAGGGAACCCCGCUUCGUCAAAGCUGGAAUAGCAGCUCGAGGAUUGCCCUGAUCCUUUCCUUUUGGUAAAUAAGCCAUCCAAUUGAUUCUCUUAUUAAAAUAAUAAAAAAUCUCGGGUUUUGGUGACUUGUACUUUUCGUAGUAGACUUUUGACUCAAAAAAGAGGUUUUCAAGCCCCAAUGAAGCUGCAAGAGAAGCAGCAGCUAGAGAUCGAGUUCCAUAAUUAGAAUGGGAAUCUCGUCCAAUAGACUCACUGAACAUCAACCAAAUAACCAUAUCUAAUUCCACCAUGAUCGCAUUUACACCCAAGGAACCAUUUCCAACCAAGCCGGAGAAGUUGAACACAGCCAGCUGGAUCGAGCUAAAGCUCUAUAAUUAGAAUCUCUUUCCUUCUUGGGAGUCAGUACCCUUACAUGGACUCUAGUCCCAUUAAGGAAGUCGUCUUUGAAAGGUAACAAUUGGUGAAUAAGUGGAUUGUUAAGACAAGAAAGCAGCUAAGACCAAAGAAAAGGAGCUAAGAACGCCUUUCUUCUCUAAAGCAAGCCGGCCAGCGGAUAGCAUUAUAUUCUAACAGAAACAGAAUCUUUCCUUUCAAAUCAAAAGUAUAACCACGAAUUC
Molecule: long non-coding RNA, 684 nt
Filed under: Amborella trichopoda
Lineage: Eukaryota; Viridiplantae; Streptophyta; Magnoliopsida; Amborellales; Amborellaceae
Description: long non-coding RNA (ATRI_LNC003722)
Source: RNAcentral